Molecule: ribosomal RNA, 253 nt
Filed under: uncultured bacterium
Lineage: Bacteria
Description: partial 16S ribosomal RNA
Rfam family: Bacterial small subunit ribosomal RNA
Source: RNAcentral
UACGUAGGGUGCGAGCGUUAAUCGGAAUUACUGGGCGUAAAGGGUGCGCAGGCGGUCUCGUAAGCUGGGUGUGAAAGCCCCGGGCUUAACCUGGGAACGGCAUUCAGGACUGCGAGGCUAGAGUGCGGCAGAGGGAGGUGGAAUUCCACGUGUAGCAGUGAAAUGCGUAGAGAUGUGGAGGAACACCGAUGGCGAAGGCAGCCUCCUGGGCCAGCACUGACGCUCAUGCACGAAAGCGUGGGGAGCAAACAGG